UCGAAUUGGUACGUGUUCUAAAAAAAUGACACUAGCUAUGUAUUUCCUAAGUUGGCGGCUUGCCAUGACAACGUAUUCGCUUGUAGUCGCUUCUUAGGCACAACGUAAUUGGCACAGUAGCCAAUAACCUUCGGUGUAUCAUUUAGACAAGAAGACAUCAAUUUAUAAUAAGGAAUAUUUCAAAUAUGGCGGCGAGAGAUUUUCUUCUGCGCUGCAAGUAUGCUGAGUGCAGCGGUCUCGCUGAGAAUUCAUGUGCUCCUGAAAAGAGCUGCACUGGAGACAAAAACCCUUUUUGUUUAUCCAGCAGCACUGAGCCUCACGUGAGCCUGCCUGAAGCUAUGCCAAAAAUGAUUUGCUCAGUGGAAAGAAUGUGCUGUAUAGCCAUGAAACUUGGCAAGAAGCAACAGCAGACCAUGGGAAAGAUGAUGGAGUGGGUAACUAAAUUCAGUAGCACUGGCAAACAUAACGCCAGAAUUUUAUAAAAGUACCAUAUGUAACACUUUACCCAGGGUGCGUGAACUGGUCCAUGUUAUGAGAUCUUUAGUAAUCAUGUAGGUUUCCUUCCUUUGGUGUUAAAGAGUCCCAUACUUGUGUAAGAGCAUGUUCAGUGGUAAGGGACAAUAAAGAGUCUUAUCAAAUGUUUUUAUCAAGACAUUUUAUUGGCAUGUAUAACAAAAAAAUCAUGAAAAAAAAUGCAAAGUAGUAAAAUAAAAGUAAACCUGACUAAAUUAGUAAUAACCUUUCAAAGAAUACAACACAAUGUAAAUCAUGUUCAAGUGACAAAAACUAAAUUUAAAAAAAAACAAUGUAAGUAACAAAGAUUUACUGCCAGCUUCAUGCUGUGCUCAAUGUGGUGAAAAAACUACCGCUACGCCGGCUAAUGUGGUUCUAGGCGUUAAAACACUGAAGGCGUUCUUUGUUUAAUAUCCUUGCUUUUACAUUAUACUUUAAGGCACUGAUUCUGCAGUAAUGGGUAGGGUGGUCAAAAACAAAACUGUAAAAUAGUGAAUGUCAUGUAGUUGACAUUGAGGCUAAUGUCCAUUGAUAUUAGUUCUUGUAAAACAGGUAUAUCGUAGUUGCUGGGUCCAGAGUAAUGAAAUACCUGGAAUAGUACAGUAAUACCAGAUAACGAAUCACACAUCAGGUUUUGUUUCCAACUUGAGCAGUUUGUUUUCAAGGUGAGAUUUGUUUAAAAUGUGCCAAACUCUACCCUUGUGUUGUUACAAGCUUCCGUUUUUUUAUAAUAGCAAUGCAUACUUGCUUUUACUUCCGCUAAAUCAGAGCCGCAUAAAGUUUUGAACAUUCUUUUAACUGCAGUUACAGACAACAGGUCAGCAAAUAGCACCAUCAAAAAUCUAUUUUAACACACUAUCGUAGACACCUCAUAUGCUGAAAACUGCCUACCUCUGACAUGCCUCAAAGAACAAGAAAAAGACUAAAACAGAAAAUACAACACUCUGUUAUGCCUGCUAGGUGAUUUAUAAAUGAACACCAUAUAACACUAACUUAGAAUCAAACCAAAGAAUGGGGCUUGUUAACUAAAAGUGUGUACAUAAUUGAAAUAAAGCAAGACAACGCCCACCACGGGUAAAAACGUGCUUUUUCUGUAUUUCUUUAGAUUGCCCUCCAAGAUACAAUCAAAUUUAAAUAAAAAAAAGACUAAAGCUAUAUAAAAAAGGUUCUCAAAAUGCAACAUACAAAUAAAAAUAUAGCACCUUUGUGAAAUGUCAAAUGAGAGCCAUAUAUGUUGGGAAAGACUUUUGUUGGUGACACUUCCAAUAAUUCUUUGCAGGAACUGCUAUUAAAACCAUGAUCAUAACUGUAUACAGUACGGUACUUAUAACAUUAGUAAUAACCUUUAAAGAAUAUAACAUGAUGUAAAUCUUGUUCAAGUGACAGAAGCAAAAUGUAAAAAAAAACCCAAUGUAAUACACUGAUGAUUGUGCUUUACAUAAAACACACGUUGACUACUACCCCAUUUAUAUAUUUGUAACAUAUACAUUAAUAUAUUUCUGCAUAUACAUUUGUUAGAUGCUGGAUAUAUAACCCUGUCUCCCUUAUGAAACGCCCACUUAAAAUAAAGCACAUUUUCAUGUAUACUAUUUGUAAUAUUAUAUGGACCUAUAAUGACAUAUACCAAACCUGUGCCUGUUUCAAAUGAGCAUUACAGAAAACAAGUUUAAAAAUGUGUGGGGAAAAAAAAAAUCAGCUCAUUCUGGUAUUCUUAACCACACCAAAAGCUUAGUCACAAGAC
Long non-coding RNA from Acipenser ruthenus (sterlet), 2254 nucleotides. RefSeq lists it as uncharacterized. Lineage: Eukaryota; Metazoa; Chordata; Actinopteri; Acipenseriformes; Acipenseridae. The record is from RefSeq and is a predicted model, not a curated record. The transcript is spliced from 3 exons.